GACGAACGCUGGCGGCGUGCCUAAUACAUGCAAGUCGAACGCUUCUUUCCUCCCGAGUGCUUGCACUCGAUUGGAAAGAGGAGUGGCGGACGGGUGAGUAACACGUGGGUAACCUACCCAUCAGAGGGGGAUAACACUUGGAAACAGGUGCUAAUACCGCAUAACAGUUUAUGCCGCAUGGCAUAAGAGUGAAAGGCGCUUUCGGGUGUCGCUGAUGGAUGGACCCGCGGUGCAUUAGCUAGUUGGUGAGGUAACGGCUCACCAAGGCCACGAUGCAUAGCCGACCUGAGAGGGUGAUCGGCCACACUGGGACUGAGACACGGCCCAGACUCCUACGGGAGGCAGCAGUAGGGAAUCUGCGGCAAUGGACGAAAGUCUGACCGAGCAACGCCGCGUGAGUGAAGAAGGUUUUCGGAUCGUAAAACUCUGUUGUUAGAGAAGAACAAGGACGUUAGUAACUGAACGUCCCCUGACGGUAUCUAACCAGAAAGCCACGGCUAACUACGUG
Molecule: ribosomal RNA, 508 nt
Filed under: uncultured bacterium
Lineage: Bacteria
Description: partial 16S ribosomal RNA
Rfam family: Bacterial small subunit ribosomal RNA
Source: RNAcentral